RNAcentral lists this ribosomal RNA (488 nucleotides) under uncultured bacterium. RNAcentral's name for it is "bacterial SSU rRNA". It matches the Rfam family "Bacterial small subunit ribosomal RNA", at positions 28 to 507 of the family's 1533-position model. The record is from RNAcentral.
GAUGAACGCUAGCUACAGGCUUAACACAUGCAAGUCGAGGGGCAGCAUGAACUUAGCUUGCUAAGUUUGAUGGCGACCGGCGCACGGGUGAGUAACACGUAUCCAACCUGCCGAUGACUCGGGGAUAGCCUUUCGAAAGAAAGAUUAAUACCCGAUGGCAUAGUUCUUCCGCAUGGUAGAACUAUUAAAGGAUUUCGGUCAUCGAUGGGGAUGCGUUCCAUUAGGUUGUUGGCGGGGUAACGGCCCACCAAGCCUUCGAUGGAUAGGGGUUCUGAGAGGAAGGUCCCCCACAUUGGAACUGAGACACGGUCCAAACUCCUACGGGAGGCAGCAGUGAGGAAUAUUGGUCAAUGGACGAGAGUCUGAACCAGCUAAGUAGCGUGAAGGAUGACUGCCCUAUGGGUUGUAAACUUCUUUUANAAGGGAUAAAACCUCCCACGUGUGGGAGCUUGUAUGUACCUUAUGAAUAAGCAUCGGCUAACUCCGUG